RNAcentral lists this ribosomal RNA (301 nucleotides) under uncultured bacterium. Its description in RNAcentral is "partial 16S ribosomal RNA". It matches the Rfam family "Bacterial small subunit ribosomal RNA", at positions 509 to 807 of the family's 1533-position model. The record is from RNAcentral.
CAGUCGCCGCGGUAAUACGUAGGUGACAAGCGUUGUCCGGAAUUAUUGGGCGUAAAGGGCUCGCAGGCGGUUUCUUAAGUCUGAUGUGAAAGCCCCCGGCUCAACCGGGGAGGGUCAUUGGAAACUGGGAAACUUGAGUGCAAAAGAGGAGAGUGGAAUUCCACGUGUAGCGGUGAAAUGCGUAGAGAUGUGGAGGAACACCAGUGGCGAAGGCGACUCUCUGGUCUGUAACUGACGCUGAGGAGCGAAAGCGUGGGGAGCGAACAGGAUUAGAUACCCCGGUAGUCCCUGUCUCUUAUAC